AUUGAACGCUGGCGGCAGGCCUAACACAUGCAAGUCGAGCGGAUGAAGGGAGCUUGCUCCUGGAUUCAGCGGCGGACGGGUGAGUAAUGCCUAGGAAUCUGCCUGGUAGUGGGGGAUAACGUCCGGAAACGGGCGCUAAUACCGCAUACGUCCUGAGGGAGAAAGUGGGGGAUCUUCGGACCUCACGCUAUCAGAUGAGCCUAGGUCGGAUUAGCUAGUUGGUGGGGUAAAGGCCUACCAAGGCGACGAUCCGUAACUGGUCUGAGAGGAUGAUCAGUCACACUGAAACUGAGACACGGUCCAACCUCCUAGGGGAGGCAGCGGGGGGAAUAUUGGACAAAGGGCGAAAGCCUGAUCCAGCCAUGCCGCGUGUGUGAAGAAGGUCUUCGGAUUGUAAAGCACUUUAAGUUGGGAGGAAGGGCAGUAAGUUAAUACCUUGCUGUUUUGACGUUACCAACAGAAUAAGCACCGGCUAACUUCGUG
This 483-nucleotide ribosomal RNA is filed under the name uncultured bacterium. RNAcentral's name for it is "partial 16S ribosomal RNA". It matches the Rfam family "Bacterial small subunit ribosomal RNA", at positions 30 to 507 of the family's 1533-position model. The record is from RNAcentral.